Molecule: long non-coding RNA, 2561 nt
Filed under: Sus scrofa (pig)
Lineage: Eukaryota; Metazoa; Chordata; Mammalia; Artiodactyla; Suidae
Description: lncRNA (ENSSSCG00030022786.1)
Source: RNAcentral
AGAUCCUCACGGUGAGAGGAGCUGCUUCGUGCUCACCCUCAGCCCAAGGAAGACUCCUGGGUAAGCAGGGGAGGGGAGGACCCCGCCCACCUCCCCAUCCUCAGGACCACUUUCUGAGAAAAGCGUGGUUGUCACUGAUUCACGGAGGAAGGGAAAUCAAAGCUCCGAGAGCUCAGGGAAUGGAGCCAAGGCCACACAUUGAGCAGUGGCAGAGCCUGGAUUUGGAGGCAGGCUUGUCUGACUGCUUCCUCCCACCCCCUGGGCCCCCAGACAGCACAGAGCUCGGUGUGCCCAGCUCUGGAUCUGAACUCCUGAGACGUGAGUGAUGACCCCAGGAGUCUGGUGGAUGUCGGGGUGCUCAGCCCUCUGGGAAAUUUGGUGGAAGCAGAGGUGGGUGGAGGAGGGUGGGGGUCAGAGCCUCUCCUUCUUUUGGUUUGUUUUUGUUUUUUGUAUUUUUUUGUAUUUUCCAGGGCCACACCUGUGUCAUAUGGAGGUUCCUAGGCUAGAGGCCGAAUCGGAGCUUCAGCUGCUGGCCUACGCCACAGCCAUAGCUAUGCCAAAUCCUUAACCCACUGAACGAGGCCAGGGAUCAAACCCACAAUCUCAUGGUUCCUAGUUGGAUUCGUUAACCACUGAGCCACCACAGGAACUCUGGAGCCUUUCCUCCUUUGCUGAGGCUGCUUGUGAUGGGGAUUUUUUUUUUUUUCUUUUUUCUUUUGGUCUUUUUGUCUUUUUAGGGCCGCACCUGUGGCAUAUGGAGGUUCCCAGGCUAGGGGUCGAAUUGGAGCUGUUGUCGCCGGCCCACACCACAGCCAUAGCAAUGCCAGAUCCAAGCAGCAUCUGCAACCUACACCACAGCUCACAGUAACGCCAGAUCCUUGACCUAGUGAGUGAGGCCAGGGUUUGAACCCGCAGCCACAUGGUUCCUAGUCGGAUUCCUUAACCACUGAGCCACGAUGGGAACUCCAGAGGAUUUCUUUUGAGAUACAAGGAAUCAAGGUUUGUUCACCCACCCUGAGUGUCUGGGGAUAAGGGAGGGACAGGAGAGCAAGCAGGGAGAUGGGGGCUUUGCCUUCCUGUCCCCGCUCUGGCCUCGGCUCAGGAUGUGGUGGUGGGAGAUGUAAGAGGUGGUUCUAUGUGUCUGGAAUCAGAAAGACAGCCCGGAGUGUGGACGUGAGAAGGGAUCACGGCAGAAUAAUCCCCAGCAGGAUCCCUGUUUUCUCUUCUCUCUCUCUCUCUCUUUUUUUUUUCUUUGUAUGGCCUCACCUUCAGCAUAUAGAAGUUCCCAGGCUAGGGGUCGAAUCGGAGCUAUAGGUGCCGGCUUGCACCACAGCCACAGCCACGCUGGAUCCAAGCCACAUCUGGGACCUACAUCACAGCUCAAGGCAACACCGCAUCCUUAACCCACUGAGCCAGGUCAGGGAUCAAACCGGCAUCCUUAUGGAUUUUGGUCAGGUUCUGAACCUGCUGAGCCACAGCAGAAACUCUUCCCUGGUUUUCUUAAGAUAAAAAUCUAUACACUCAGGUGCAUAACAGGAUGCGUGCGCGCUCAGAUCUCUGUUUAUCUAAGCAGACACACCUAGAAACUUGGGGGUUGUUAACAUCGUUUUGUCCCUCCUAAAAUACCACUGCCAGAAGGCCUGGUGUUGGCCUCACUUGAGCCCAUUGAGAGCUGUGUGAGCCUGUGCGAGUUGCUUUUCCAGGAGUUUUUUUGUUCAGAUUUCUUACCUGGUUUUUAAAAAUUAGUCUCAGUCUUCUCAUGUGGAUUUUAGGCUCUCUGUGUUGUGGACAUGCACCUUUGCCUCCCAUAGGUAUUGCAGACAGCGUCUCCUGGUGUCAUUGUGUAAUGACCUGGUUUAUUGCUUCUUUUGCAAUUUUUAAUGUUGAAGAGAUCAAAUGGGUCAGACUUCCUUUAUGGCUUUGUGUUUUGGUGAGAAAGAUUUCCUCAACUCAACAGUAGUUUUUAUCGUUUAUUCCGGUACCUUUGUAGUUUGUUUCUUUCUGGUUUACACUGUAAUCCCUUUGGGAUUGACGAUUGGCUGAUGGAUCGAUUGAUUGAUUAGAAAUUUUUGGUUUUUCCCUCUUUUUCUCCCUCCUCCUCCCCCUCCUUGGCUUCUUCCUCUCCUGUGCACCCCGACUUCUUUCCUCUCGUUUUUCUUCUCCUUCUUGAAAUAGGACACAUUUAAAGGACAUCUGCAAUGGUCAAAAGAGCACAGUCUUUUUCGUGUCUUCAAAGGCACCUCCAGUGCAGAAAGGCAUUGUUCAGAGUUUAGCUGGGACCCAUGUUUUUUUCUACACUUCUCUCUUCCUCGUAAAAAUAUCACGGCUGGAGUUCCCGUGGUGGCGCAGCGGAAAUGAAUCCAACUAGGAACCAUGAGGCUGCGGGUUCGAUCCCUGGCCUUGCUCAGUGGGUUAAGGAUCCGGCAUUGCCGUGAGCUGUGGUGUAGGGUGCAGAUGCGGCUUGGAUCCCACAUUGCUGUGGCUCUGGUGUAGGCCAGUGGCUACAGCGCCGAUUCGACCCAUAACCUGGGAACCUUCAUAUGCCGCAGGAGCGGCCCUAG